This 58-nucleotide transfer RNA is filed under the name Strongyloides papillosus. Its description in RNAcentral is "tRNA-Glu". Lineage: Eukaryota; Metazoa; Nematoda; Chromadorea; Rhabditida; Strongyloididae. The record is from RNAcentral.
GAGGCCAUAGUGUAAUUGGAGCACAUCUCAUUUUCGCUGAGAAAGUUAAUUGGUCUUA